Molecule: long non-coding RNA, 895 nt
Filed under: Homo sapiens (human)
Lineage: Eukaryota; Metazoa; Chordata; Mammalia; Primates; Hominidae
Description: HSALNT0328624
Source: RNAcentral
UAAGAGAUGAUUUUUAUCAGGUGAAGCCUUUUGUCAUCUUGAUAGGCGACCACUGUAACUGUGACUGAAGCUCUGCUGGUUCCUAUAGUUGCUUAACAUGCUUUCCACAAUUCUUUAAGGCCCUUUGCUGUGAUCUAGUGCAUGCACUCUGGAAAAUGUUGGUGGAAUCAGCACCUUGGGGAGGCAGAAGUGGCCACGGUAAACCAGUCUGGAAGAAUAACUUCUUGUUCCUGAACCAGUAAAAUUUCCAGGCUGAAAAUGCUGUUUGCAUUCCUGGCCUGGCUGCCUCCUCCAGCAAGCAGUCAUUCUGUUAUCAGUUCUGUAGCCACAUCUUCAUCUCUGACUCAAAUUCCUCUGCUCCAUCUUUUACGUAUAAGGACCUCUGUGAUGACAUCGGACCUACCAGGAUAAUGGAGGAUAAUCUCUCCAUCUCAAAAUUCUAAUGUAAUUAUACCUGCAAAUUCCCUUUUGCCAUAUAAGAUAAUGAAUUCACAAGUUCCAUGUUUUAGGACAUAGGCAUCUUUAAGGGGUCAUUUUACCUUCCACAGUGACUGAUAAAAUAUGGCAGAAGGAACAAUGUGUGAUUUCCUUUGCAUUGCAACUUCUGUUUUGCUUUCUGGAAUGUUUUGUUCUGGGGAAGUUAGCUGCCAAGUUUGAGGACGCUCAAGCAGCCCUGUGGAGAGACCAUACAGGGAAAAACAAAGACUUCUCUGCCACAGACAGCACCAACUUGCCAGUCAUGUACGUGAGACUCCAUGGAGUGGGUCCUCCAGUCUUAGUCAGAUCUUCUGACAAACACAGCUCCAGCCAGCAUCUGACAGCAACCUCAUGAAAGACCCUGCCUAGACACUCCUGAACUCUGACACAACAAGAAAGGAUUAUUUUUUAGUCCACU